UGAAGGCUAAGAUACAAGACAAAGAGGGUAUCCCACCAGAUCAGCAGAGGCUUAUCUUUGCUGGAAAACAACUUGAAGAUGGCCGAACUCUGGCCGAUUACAAUAUCCAGAAGGAAUCCACCCUUCAUCUUGUCCUACGUUUGAGGGGAGGUAUGCAGAUCUUUGUGAAGACCCUUACAGGGAAGACAAUUACUUUGGAGGUAGAGAGCUCAGACACAAUUGACAAUGUGAAGGCUAAGAUACAAGACAAAGAGGGUAUCCCACCAGAUCAGCAGAGGCUCAUAUU
RNAcentral lists this long non-coding RNA (286 nucleotides) under Lathyrus oleraceus (garden pea). RNAcentral's name for it is "Pisum sativum (pea) long non-coding RNA (PSAT_LNC033224)". The record is from RNAcentral. Lineage: Eukaryota; Viridiplantae; Streptophyta; Magnoliopsida; Fabales; Fabaceae.